Molecule: ribosomal RNA, 432 nt
Filed under: uncultured bacterium
Lineage: Bacteria
Description: partial 16S ribosomal RNA
Rfam family: Bacterial small subunit ribosomal RNA
Source: RNAcentral
AACGAACGCUGGCGGCGUGCCUAACACAUGCAAGUCGAACGGGACCUUCGGGCCUAUUUGCGCAGCGCUAGUUAACGCGGGGGAACCUGCCCUUAAGUUCGGUGUAACUCACCUUAGGGGGUCCUAAUACCGGUUAAUCUCUUCGGAGCUAAGAUUUACCGCUUCUUGGUGGGCCCUAGUUGGAUUCGCUAGUUGGUAGGGUACAAGCCUGCCAAGACGAUGAUCCAGAGCUGGUCUGAGAGGAGGAUCAGCCACACUGGGAUUGAGACACGGCCCAGACGCCGAGGGGAGGUAGCAGUGGGGAAUAUAGGACAAUGGGCGAAAGCCUGAUCCAGCAAGGCCGGGUGAGUGAUGAAGGGCUUAGGGUUGUAAAGCGCUUUUACCCGGGAGGAUAAUGACAGUACCGGGAGAAUAAGCUCCGGCUAACUCGGU